AUUGAACGCUGGCGGCAGGCUUAACACAUGCAAGUCGAGCGGGGUGAUGGUGCUUGCACUAUCACUUAGCGGCGGACGGGUGAGUAAUGCUUAGGAAUCUGCCUAUUAGUGGGGGACAACAUCUCGAAAGGGAUGCUAAUACCGCAUACGUCCUACGGGAGAAAGCAGGGGAUCACUUGUGACCUUGCGCUAAUAGAUGAGCCUAAGUCGGAUUAGCUAGUUGGUGGGGUAAAGGCCUACCAAGGCGACGAUCUGUAGCGGGUCUGAGAGGAUGAUACGCCAAACUGGGACUGGGACACGGCCCAGACUCCGACGGGAGGCAGCAGUGGGGAAUAUUGGACAAUGGGGGGAACCCUGAUCCAGCCAUGCCGCGUGUGGGAAGAAGGCCUUAUGGUUGUAAAGCACUUUAAGCGAGGAGGAGGCUCUUUUGGUUAAUACCCAAGAUGAGUGGACGUUACUCGCAGAAUAAGCACCGGCUAACCCUGUGCCAGCAGCCGCCGUAA
RNAcentral lists this ribosomal RNA (503 nucleotides) under uncultured bacterium. Its description in RNAcentral is "partial 16S ribosomal RNA". It matches the Rfam family "Bacterial small subunit ribosomal RNA", at positions 30 to 523 of the family's 1533-position model. The record is from RNAcentral.